GCAGGCACUGGCUGAGAGCAGGAGUGUGUGAUGAGAUUGUACUGUUGAUCUCUGUAAGUAGAGCAGAGUGAGGAGGACAUCGAGAAUGCACAUAUAACAUCACUUCCUGGAGCAUUUGCGGAAAAUACGACCCGGGUAAAAAUGUUACACAGGCAACACAAAUAGACACUGAACAUCUACUUUUUCACAUCAGUUAACUGUUCGCUUAUAAAUGGGCGAUAAAAAAUGAUUUAUACAUGUAAAAAGUUACAUAUAGAACCUUUAAGGAAAAUUCCCACCGAUUUUUUUUCUGUUGUGGCUGCUGGUUAGCUGAAAAUACAUGCGGACACAAUAAACAGGAAACAUUUUGUGUCAUUGCUUAUUUAUCAUGCCCUAAUAGGGAGCAAAAGUUGUUUAACAAAACUCAAUAUAUCACAAAAAAUACUUCUACACUCAAUUGCUGUGUUAAAUAUCCUAUUGGCAUUUAUUCAAAGCAUAUAUUAUUGUAAUUUAAAUGUCCCUAUAGUCUGUCUACAAACCCCCCAAUUAUAAGAAAGGUCCAUCAUUUAUUUUAAAUUAUUUGAAAGUAAUAAAACCAGAAAACCUUUAUGAUGAUUUAAAGCCUUUAGUGUGAGAAUAAUGAAAACAAGUACUUGUGAGAACAUAUGAUAACCGAUGAUGACUGUGUUGAUGUGUUAUAAUAUGACUGUGUGAGGCAUUUGCUAAAAACAACUGUCAUGACACCUAGCCCACGAAUUUCCUGUUAAGCAGAUGCCUUUGCACAAACUUCUGCCUUUCUUUGAAUUAAGAUACAGACUCGGUCUCAACUUGGUUUACCACUAAUCUGCUCUACAACAGUUGUUCCAUAUCCAUCCUUCCCCUUUGAAUGCAAUGUAUAAAAGCGUGUUCCCUCUUUGCCCCCUUUGAGCUUCUCUGCAGACUGCAUGACACUCUGUACUGCUGCUCCUUCUUGCAAGAAUAAAAGAACAACGAAAGCCAUUUGAAGACUUCUUUCAUUUAUUACAACUUCUUUAUUAACAAUUUUGCCGUGACAACCAAACCCAAGAGGCUGCGACAAAGAUGACCACCACUUCCAAAUUCGGACCUCUGCCCGUGAUUCUCCUGGGCGUCGGCCUGCUGUGUGUUCUUCAAGCAAGCCUCAACAUCGCUCUGAGACUUCCUCUCAGUAAGCCUUCUUUUAAAGAAGCCGGACACUUCCGUUUGAUUCUCCUGGUCGUCGGCCUGCUGUGUAUUCUUCAAGCAAGCCUCAACAUCGCUCUGAGACUCGCUCUCAGUAAGCCUUCUUUUAAAGAAUUCAAACACUUGCGUGUGGUUCUGAGCGUCGUUCUGCUGUUUAUUCUUCAAGCAAGCCUCAACAUCGCUCUGAGACUCUGAUCUCAGUAAGCCUUCUGUUAAAGGUUGCAGUGGGUGAGUGAUGGAGCGUCCGGAGGAGAAGACUGUGGCGACCUUCACACAAGGAUCACUUUCAUCGGCUUGAACGACUUCAACUGCAGCGUCACAUCCCAGUGGAUUUGUGAGAAAAGGUUACAGUAGUUUGCACUGAGUCAUGGUGUGUAACACACAGUCAGUACUAAGAUGUAACUGUAUCAUUGCAGGUCAUAACAUCUGACGUCUCUUUGAACUCUUCUCGUUCUUCUGUCUCCUGUUUCUUUAUAAUAAAAUCUUUAGGCUCAAAUAUUCAACAUGCAACACAGACCUCUGUUUUCAAUGUAGGAAUCGUUAAGAUAUGGGGUUUCUUUCUUUUAUCAUUUCUGUUUCUCUUUAAUGUCUUUCUUUCUUUUCUGUUACUUUUGCCCUUGAUGUAUCAGGUGAGACAUUGUUUGGAUGUCAUUAAUAUUUAAUUCAUCGUCUAACAAGAUCAAAGUGAUUCAGACUUGAAUUAACCCAUUAAUGAUCGGCUACUAAAUUUAAUACAUUAAGUCCCACCGAUUUUUUUUCUGUUGUGGCUGCUGGUUAGCUGAAAAUACAUGUGGCUACAAUAAAUGGGAAACAUUUUUUGUGAUAGCAUAUUUGUCAUGCCCUAAUUGGUAGAAAAAGUUGUUAAUCAAUAAAAAAAAUCAAUAAAUCACAAAAAAUACUUCUACACUCAAUUGCUGUGUUAAAUAUCCUAUUGGCACUUAUUCAAAACAUAUAUUAUUGUAAUUUAAAGGUCACAUAUUAUGCAAAGUAUACAUUAUCAUGUUUUUCUAACACAAAUCCCUAUAGUCUGUCUACAAACCACCCAAUUAUAAGAAAGGUCCAUCAUUUAUUUUAAAUUAUUUUAAAGUAAUAAGACCAGAAAACCUUUAUGAUGAUUUAAAGCCUUUAGUGUGAGAAUAAUGAAAACAAGUACUUGUGAGAACAUAUGAUAACCGAUGAUGACUGUGUUGAUGUGUUAUAAUAUGACUGUGUGAGGCAUUUGCUAAAAACAACUGUCAUGACACCUAGCCCAUGAAUUUCCUGUUAAGCAGAUGCCUAUGCACAAACUUCUGCCUUUUUUUUUAAUUAAGAUACAGACUCGGUCUCAACUUGGUUUACCACAAAUCUGCUCUACAACAAUUGUUCCAUAUCCAUCCUUCGCCUUUGAAUACAAUGUAUAAAAGCGUGUUCCCUCUUAGCCCCCUUUGAGCUUCUCUGCAGACUGCAUGACACUCUGUACUGCUGCUCCUUCUUGCAAGAAUAAAAGAACAACGAAAGCCA
Non-coding RNA from Labrus bergylta (ballan wrasse), 2679 nucleotides. Lineage: Eukaryota; Metazoa; Chordata; Actinopteri; Labriformes; Labridae. The record is from RefSeq and is a predicted model, not a curated record.